Long non-coding RNA from Tachysurus fulvidraco (yellow catfish), 882 nucleotides. RefSeq lists it as uncharacterized. The record is from RefSeq and is a predicted model, not a curated record. The transcript is spliced from 3 exons. NCBI's taxonomy places the organism in Eukaryota, Metazoa, Chordata, Actinopteri, Siluriformes, Bagridae.
CUCAGAUGUAUCCACUGCCAAUUUCCACCCUCUGUUUAAUUCUCGGCUAUCGGACAAAAGUUGCAGAGUUUCUUGGAGCUCAAGCUCUAACUGAAGCUUCAUCAGAGACACGGACGAGGUGAAAAGGGAGAUUCUGCGGUUAGAUGACUGGCUCCUCCUGGAAUUUUACACUCGCUGCAUCUCUAAGGGUGAACAAUGAGACGGUUGUGAUGGAUCCUCUGCUGUGACAAGAGACUUGUGUUUCGUGACCUGUGGACAAGGCCGAGUCGACGCCGUGGCACGCCAAGCUCCUCUCCCCCUGGCUUCCUGUCAGGAAUGUGCUAGUAAUCGCGGUGGGUAAAAUCCUCACAGGGUGACACAGUUUGUAGUGACAACUAAUAUUAAUCAAGGGUGUUUUAGUUGGUGUAGGUCGUGCUUGAGGCAUUUUCCCCCCUAUAUUUUUCGCAUGAGGUAGCAUUCGCUAGGAGACGCUUUCUCCUCUAGAGGGCAGAGCGACGGUGACAUUUCACAUUGCUAAUGGGACACUGAAGGCUGAGAAUGAAUUGAUAUCUUAAAUAGAUGUAUGAUACUUGAUUUCCAGGCUGUUUUUAUGCAAUUGAUUUGAACCUCAAGUUACAAGUUCAUUUUAAAUCGCUAAGCUACAGCCUUUUGGCUGCUGUAACCAGUCUAUCACCUAAUCACCUCAGGUCUGAGAGAAGUUACAGUACUAGCAAACUUGGAUUUUUACAGAAAAUAUUUAUUUAAGACAACUUGCUACCAAUUCUACCUUACAUUUUAGUUACACAAUAAUGCUAGCUAGCUUGCUACAAGAUACUAAGCCUAGCUUAAGCUAACUAGCUAACAAAGUUAGCUAAGUAAUAAAGUCAAAUAGCUACUGUAUAA